This is a non-coding RNA of Paramisgurnus dabryanus, 457 nucleotides long. The record is from RefSeq and is a predicted model, not a curated record. NCBI's taxonomy places the organism in Eukaryota, Metazoa, Chordata, Actinopteri, Cypriniformes, Cobitidae.
CCACCAUUACUGUGAAUGAAGAUGCCAAUGAUCUUCAUAACACUGUGAUUGAUUUUAGAGACACAAAUGGUUCCACAUCAGGAAAAGAAAGUGAUGACAGCACUUCUGAUGAGGACUAUGUUCCCUCUCUCUGUCUUAGAACAGGUGAAGGAACUAAGGAUUUUCGGAAAAUUGAGGAGCUUCACGUAAUUGGUCUGGAAGAGACAGUACAUCUUACACCAGAGGAUGAAGUGCCAUUCCUAUGUGAGCAGCAUGUCCCUACAUCUUCUGCUAGCCACAAAGUCACGUGUGAGGACGACAUAAUUGGACAACGAGCAUCUAUUGUAUAUGAAGCCAAGUUGAAACAACUUGUCACACAUCUACAGCUACCUGUACUGAAGUGCAAUUUCAUAAACAAAAUUACAAAAGAAACCUGUCAGGCGUCACCACCAUUUGAAGUACAUCUGACUUCAAGGGG